AUGUGGGAAAGCACUGCUGUGCUCCCCCGAAGGCCAGCUCCCUCCCUUGUCUGUGAGGAGGAGGAACAUUGGACACAACAGGAAGCACCUGACCCAGGGCUUAUUGAUGGUUCUAUGACCUUCAUGUGCCUCCUGAAUUCCUCUGCCACUGGCCUGACGUGUGGCUGCCAUGCCGAGGAGUGGCCUGUGGAAGCUGGGGGACCCCAGGUGAAUCAUUUCACUUUAUCUGUGAGGAGGAACCAAGGAUAACUCCGGCAGAAAGCCUGGUCUCUCCAGCCCUCUCUGUAAGCAUGAGGAGCCACACAUUCCAUCUCUACCUGUGUCCAGAAAGAGGUGAGUGUUUCCUUGGCACCUGUCCUGGAGAAUCUCAGGGGAAGUGCUUCCUGACACCUAUCCCAAGGGCACAUGCUGCAAUGUCAGCUCUGGCUUUUGUGUUUCACCUCAGUGGAAGUGAGACCUAGGGACCCUGCUCCAUGGAGGGGCUGAUGACAUGAAAAGGCUUGUGAGAAGCUGGGUGCAUCCUGGCACUGUCAUAGACUCACUGUGUGCCUUGAGCAAGACACUGGCCCUCUCUGCACAUGCCCCCUCUGUAAAAUGCGGGAGCAGGGCUUGGCCUGCCUCUCCUCCAUGUACCCUCCCCCACCCACAGCGGAUGUGGCGUGUGGAAGGGGCAGGGACUCCUGCCCUUUCCUACUGAGGAACUGAUCUGUUUCUCUUCUGGUUGAGGAUGUGGGAACUGAGCAGAGUGGUGAUAGGAGUGGAGAGGAAGUUGCUGAUGAGGGUGGGCGACUGUGCCUCAAAGCUAUUUCCCCUCCCCCACCAAAAUCCUCCUUGUCCCCUUCCCCAUCAACCACAGGGAAGAGUCUAGGUGUUUCCAAGGAUGGUCUGGGAAGACUUAGGUCAUUGUGAGGUCAGGGGCAUCCCUGGUGGGAUAUCAGACUGUGCGUGGUGUCUCCCUCUGAAGAGAGUCCUCCAUUUUUUAUUUUUACUUUAUUACUCAAUGUGAAGAGUGUCCUCUAAAUACUAGUCUGUCUCCCAAAAAUGAGGGUGGGAGUAUUCAGAGAUCACCUAGUUUAAAUUCUUCAUCUUGCUUCUACAGAAAGAGAAACUGGAGUUCCUGUCAUGGCUCAGUGGUUAACUAACCUGACUAGUAUCCAUGAGGAUGCGGGUUCGAUCCCUGACUUUCCUUAGUGGGUCAAAGAUCCAGCAUUGCCAUGAGCUGUGGUGUAGGUCACAGACACGGCUCGGA
RNAcentral lists this long non-coding RNA (1249 nucleotides) under Sus scrofa (pig). Its description in RNAcentral is "lncRNA (ENSSSCG00070014036.1)". Lineage: Eukaryota; Metazoa; Chordata; Mammalia; Artiodactyla; Suidae. The record is from RNAcentral.